This 73-nucleotide transfer RNA is filed under the name Streptococcus salivarius. RNAcentral's name for it is "tRNA-Asn". It matches the Rfam family "tRNA". Rfam says of the family: Transfer RNA (tRNA) molecules are approximately 80 nucleotides in length. Their secondary structure includes four short double-helical elements and three loops (D, anti-codon, and T loops). The record is from RNAcentral. Lineage: Bacteria; Bacillati; Bacillota; Bacilli; Lactobacillales; Streptococcaceae. RNAcentral also lists the same sequence under 1 other name.
GCCUAGGUAGUUCAGUGGUUAGAACGCGAAACUGUUAAUUUCGAUGUCGGGAGUUCGAUUCUCUCCCUUGGCG